This 429-nucleotide ribosomal RNA is filed under the name Chloroflexota bacterium. RNAcentral describes it as "Chloroflexi bacterium partial 16S ribosomal RNA". It matches the Rfam family "Bacterial small subunit ribosomal RNA", at positions 355 to 776 of the family's 1533-position model. The record is from RNAcentral. Lineage: Bacteria; Bacillati; Chloroflexota.
UGGGGAAUAUUGCACAAUGGGCGCAAGCCUGAUGCAGCCAUGCCGCGUGUGUGAAGAAGGCCUUCGGGUUGUAAAGCACUUUCAGCGGGGAGGAAGGCGUUAAGGUUAAUAACCUUGGCGAUUGACGUUACCCGCAGAAGAAGCACCGGCUAACUCCGUGCCAGCAGCCGCGGUAAUACGGAGGGUGCAAGCGUUAAUCGGAAUUACUGGGCGUAAAGCGCACGCAGGCGGUUUGUUAAGUCAGAUGUGAAAUCCCCGGGCUCAACCUGGGAACUGCAUCUGAUACUGGCAAGCUUGAGUCUCGUAGAGGGGGGUAGAAUUCCAGGUGUAGCGGUGAAAUGCGUAGAGAUCUGGAGGAAUACCGGUGGCGAAGGCGGCCCCCUGGACGAAGACUGACGCUCAGGUGCGAAAGAGUGGGGAGCAAACAGG